UUUACUAAAGAUUAUCCCUCUAGGAAGAAGAAUAAACCAAUUCAAAAUAGUAUUAUAUGUGGUUGAAAGGAAUAUGACUCUGGCCCCUGCCAGUGCUAUGUGCAUUAUUAGGAGAUGAAUUGUGGUUUCGUUGGCAGUCACAUGGUGCUGGGAUGAUGGGAGCAGUCUCCAUGUGCCUGUACCCCCUUUUUAUCCAAUCAUUUAUAUUAUUUUCCGCCUAGUAAUUUGUCUUUCGAUCUUUGUCUUUGAACAGUAUAAAACUAUGAUUUAUAUUUUUAGGGAGACAUGAAAUUGGUGAACUAGCUAGUAGUUGUGUUAAUUCUUGUGUUUAGUCCAUGUACCCCAUCUGCACAUGGACAUGGAGAUUGUAAUAACUGCUGCAUUAGUUAUCCAAUCAUAAUGUCCUAUUUGAUCUAGUAAUGGUUCGUAAAUGGAGGAACAUCAUGUACUUGUAUUUUUGUAUCUGCUGGUGCCCAUAAGCAUGGUGGUUGAGAUGGGAAUUGAUUCCUUGCCUUUAAAAUAAUGCAGGUGCCUUAGCUGGAGAUUU
Molecule: long non-coding RNA, 547 nt
Filed under: Ananas comosus (pineapple)
Lineage: Eukaryota; Viridiplantae; Streptophyta; Magnoliopsida; Poales; Bromeliaceae
Description: long non-coding RNA (ACOM_LNC022697)
Source: RNAcentral